UCCAUUAUAGUCUAGUUGGUUAGGAUACUCAUCUCUCAGCCAAGAGACUUAGGUUCAAGUCCCAACAAUGGAA
Non-coding RNA from Picea glauca (white spruce), 73 nucleotides. The record is from Rfam. NCBI's taxonomy places the organism in Eukaryota, Viridiplantae, Streptophyta, Pinopsida, Pinales, Pinaceae.